UGGGCAACCUGCCCCUGACACUGGGAUAACCCCGGGAAACCGGAGCUAAUACCGGAUACUCCGGCUGGAUCGCAUGGUCCGGCCGGGAAAGGUCCGCCGGAGAGGGAUGGGCCCGCGGCCUAUCAGCUUGUUGGUGAGGUAACGGCCCACCAAGGCGACGACGGGUAGCCGGCCUGAGAGGGCGACCGGCCACACUGGGACUGAGACACGGCCCAGACUCCUACGGGAGGCA
RNAcentral lists this ribosomal RNA (232 nucleotides) under uncultured bacterium. Its description in RNAcentral is "partial 16S ribosomal RNA". It matches the Rfam family "Bacterial small subunit ribosomal RNA", at positions 118 to 350 of the family's 1533-position model. The record is from RNAcentral.